GACGAACGCUGGCGGCGUGCUUAACACAUGCAAGUCGAACGGAAAGGCCCUGCUUUUGUGGGGUGCUCGAGUGGCGAACGGGUGAGUAACACGUGAGUAACCUGCCCUUGACUUUGGGAUAACUUCAGGAAACUGGGGCUAAUACCGGAUAGGAGCUCCUGCUGCAUGGUGGGGGUUGGAAAGUUUCGGCGGUUGGGGAUGGACUCGCGGCUUAUCAGCUUGUUGGUGGGGUAGUGGCUUACCAAGGCUUUGACGGGUAGCCGGCCUGAGAGGGUGACCGGCCACACUGGGACUGAGAUACGGCACAGACUACUACGGGAGGCAGAAGUGGGGAAUAUUGCACAAUGGGCGGAAGCCUGAUGCAGCAACGCCGCGUGCGGGAUGACGGCCUUCGGGUUGUAAACCGCUUUCGCCUGUGCCGAAGCGUGAGUGACGGUAAUGGGUAAAGAAGCACCGGCUAACUCCGUG
Molecule: ribosomal RNA, 468 nt
Filed under: uncultured bacterium
Lineage: Bacteria
Description: partial 16S ribosomal RNA
Rfam family: Bacterial small subunit ribosomal RNA
Source: RNAcentral